GACGAACGCUGGCGGCGUGCCUAAUACAUGCAAGUCGAACGAGAGCGACCGGUGCUUGCACUGGUCAAUCUAGUGGCGAACGGGUGAGUAACACGUGGGUAACCUGCUCAUCAGAGGGGGAUAACAUCCGGAAACGGAUGCUAAAACCGCAUAGGUCUUCGAGCCGCAUGGCUUGAAGAGGAAAAGAGGCGCAAGCUUCUGCUGAUGGAUGGACCCGCGGUGCAUUAGCUAGUUGGUGAGGUAACGGCUCACCAAGGCCGUGAUGCAUAGCCGACCUGAGAGGGUGAUCGGCCACAUUGGGACUGAGACACGGCCCAAACUCCUACGGGAGGCAGCAGUAGGGAAUCUUCCGCAAUGGAUGCAAGUCUGACGGAGCAACGCCGCGUGAGUGAAGAAGGUUUUCGGAUCGUAAAACUCUGUUGUCAGAGAAGAACAAGUGCUAGAGUAACUGUUAGCGCCUUGACGGUAUCUAACCAGAAAGCCACGGCUAACUACGUG
RNAcentral lists this ribosomal RNA (498 nucleotides) under uncultured bacterium. Its description in RNAcentral is "partial 16S ribosomal RNA". It matches the Rfam family "Bacterial small subunit ribosomal RNA", at positions 28 to 507 of the family's 1533-position model. The record is from RNAcentral.